AACCUUAUGGACCUGCGGGCGUAUACCUGCGGAAGGAUCAUUAACAUUUUUGGAGGUAGGCUGUAUAAGUCUGGUUGGUAACAACUAGCAUGGCCCCUCUGAUUUGUACCCUUGUCUAUUUGCGCACUUAUGUUUCCUCGGUGGGCUUGCCUGCCGAUUGGACAAACUUAUAACCUUUUUAAUUGUUAAAUCAGCGUCUGAAACAAACAUAAUAAUUACAACUUUCAACAAUGGAUCUCA
This 240-nucleotide unclassified non-coding RNA is filed under the name soil metagenome. RNAcentral's name for it is "partial contains 5.8S ribosomal RNA, internal transcribed spacer 2, and large subunit ribosomal RNA". The record is from RNAcentral.